Molecule: ribosomal RNA, 612 nt
Filed under: uncultured rumen protozoa
Lineage: Eukaryota
Description: bacterial SSU rRNA
Rfam family: Eukaryotic small subunit ribosomal RNA
Source: RNAcentral
AGGAUGGGUUGGAUAUUCACCCAUUCAAUCCCUAUGAGAAAUACAAGUAUAUGGAUUAUGGGGGAGAUAGUUCCAAGACUAAACUUUAGAAAAUAACGAAGGCCACCCCCAGGUUAAUCGUGCGGUUAUUAUGCUCACCGGGGAACUUCCCAGUACAGACAUAAGAAAGGGUGGCGGUGAUGCUCUUUCUUGUUUUGUGGGGUGUCUCCGUCCCGUAAAAGUGGUGAUUAUUUGUCUGGUUAAAUCCGAUAACGAACGGAGACCCUUAACUUCUUAAUGGCCUUUUUCAUUUUAUUGAAUAAGUCUUCUUAGAGGGCUAUAUCUUUAGUAUAUGGAAGUUUGAGACCAAUAACAGGUUUUGUGAUUCCCUUAUAUGUUAUUGGCUGCACGCGUGCUACACUGAAGUAUACAACAAGUGCCUAGCUAGAUAUAGUAUGGGCAAUUCUCGAAUAUGCAUCGUGAUGGGGGAUAGAUCUUUGCAAUUAUAGAUCUUGAACGAGGAAUUCCUAGUAAAGUGCAAGUCAUCAUCUUUCAUUGAUUAUUUUCCUGCUCUUGGGGGACGAGAGAACAAUCGCUCCUACCGAUCCGGGUGAUCCGGGAACCUGUGGACCC